GACGAACGCUGGCGGCGUGCCUAAUACAUGCAAGUAGAACGCAGAAGGAAGGAGCUUGCUCUUUCUGGGUGAGUUGCGCACGGGUGAGUAACGCGUAGGUAACCUGCCUGGUAGCGGGGGAUCACUAUGGGAAACGGUAGCUAAUACCGCAUAAAAUUGAUUAUUGCAUGAUGGUCAAUAAAAAGGUGCAAGUGCACCACUACCAGAUGGACCUGCGUGGUAUUAGCUAGUUGGUGGGGUAACGGCUCACCAAGGCGACGAUACAUAGCCGACCUGAGAGGGUGAGCGGCCACACUGGGACGGAGACACGGCCCAGACGCCUACGGGAGGCAGCAGUAGGUAAUCUUCGGCAAAGGACGGAAGUCUGACCGAGCAACGCCGCGUGAGUGAAGAAGGAUCUCGGAUCGUAAAGUGCUGUUGUAAGAGAUGAACGGGUGUUAGAGUGGAAAGUUCACACUGGGACGGUAUCUGACCAGAAAGGGACGGCUAACUACGUG
RNAcentral lists this ribosomal RNA (497 nucleotides) under uncultured bacterium. RNAcentral's name for it is "partial 16S ribosomal RNA". It matches the Rfam family "Bacterial small subunit ribosomal RNA", at positions 28 to 507 of the family's 1533-position model. The record is from RNAcentral.